CCUACGGGUGGCAGCAGUGGGGAAUAUUGCACAAUGGGGGAAACCCUGAUGCAGCGACGCCGCGUGAGUGAAGAAGUAUUUCGGUAUGUAAAGCUCUAUCAGCAGGGAAGAAGCAAGCCGGUACCUGACUAAGAAGCCCCGGCUAACUACGUGCCAGCAGCCCCGGUAAUACGUAGGGGGCAAGCGUUAUCCGGAUUUACUGGGUGGAAAGGGAGCGUAGACGGUAUGGCAAGUCUGAAGUGAAAGCCCAGGGCUUAACCCUGGGACUGCUUUGGAAACUGUUAGACUAGAGUGAUGGAGAGGUAAGUGGAAUUCCUAGUGUAGCGGUGAAAUGCGUAGAUAUUAGGAGGAACACCAGUGGCGAAGGCGGCUUACUGGACAGUAACUGACGUUGAGGCUCGAAAGCGUGGGGAGCAAACAGGAUUAGAUACCCGGGUAGUC
Molecule: ribosomal RNA, 441 nt
Filed under: uncultured bacterium
Lineage: Bacteria
Description: partial 16S ribosomal RNA
Rfam family: Bacterial small subunit ribosomal RNA
Source: RNAcentral